This 97-nucleotide signal recognition particle RNA is filed under the name Candidatus Berkiella cookevillensis. Its description in RNAcentral is "Legionella-like amoebal pathogen CC99 Bacterial small signal recognition particle RNA". It matches the Rfam family "Bacterial small signal recognition particle RNA". Rfam says of the family: The signal recognition particle (SRP) is a universally conserved ribonucleoprotein involved in the co-translational targeting of proteins to membranes. RNAcentral also lists the same sequence under 1 other name. The record is from Rfam by way of RNAcentral. Lineage: Bacteria; Pseudomonadati; Pseudomonadota; Gammaproteobacteria; Candidatus Berkiellales; Candidatus Berkiellaceae.
UGCCGGUCCUCUCGCAACGAUACAUUGCAAACCCCGUCAGGCCCGGAAGGGAGCAGCGGUAGUGAUGGACGCGUGUGCCGGGAUGUGGCUGGUAAGG